GAUGAACGCUGGCGGCGUGCCUAAUACAUGCAAGUCGAGCGAACAGACGAGGAGCUUGCUCCUCUGACGUUAGCGGCGGACGGGUGAGUAACACGUGGAUAACCUACCUAUAAGACUGGGAUAACUACGGGAAACCGGAGCUAAUACCGGAUAAUAUAUUGAACCGCAUGGUUCAAUAGUGAAAGACGGUUUUGCUGUCACUUAUAGAUGGAUCCGCGCCGCAUUAGCUAGUUGGUAAGGUAACGGCUUACCAAGGCAACGAUGCGUAGCCGACCUGAGAGGGUGAUCGGCCACACUGGAGCUGAGACACGGUCCAGACUCCUACGGGAGGCAGCAGUAGGGAAUCUUCCGCAAUGGGCGAAAGCCUGACGGAGCAACGCCGCGUGAGUGAUGAAGGUCUUCGGAUCGUAAAACUCUGUUAUUAGGGAAGAACAAAUGUGUAAGUAACUAUGCACGUCUUGACGGUACCUAAUCAGAAAGCCACGGCUAACUACGUG
This 497-nucleotide ribosomal RNA is filed under the name uncultured bacterium. Its description in RNAcentral is "partial 16S ribosomal RNA". It matches the Rfam family "Bacterial small subunit ribosomal RNA", at positions 28 to 507 of the family's 1533-position model. The record is from RNAcentral.